AGUGAACGCUGGCGGUAGGCCUAACACAUGCAAGUCGAACGGCAGCACAGUAAGAGCUUGCUCUUACGGGUGGCGAGUGGCAGACGGGUGAGGAAUACAUCGGAAUCUACUUUUUCGUGGGGGAUAACGUAGGGAAACUUACGCUAAUACCGCAUACGACCUACGGGUGAAAGCAGGGGAUCUUCGGACCUUGCGCGAUUGAAUGAGCCGAUGUCGGAUUAGCUAGUUGGCGGGGUAAAGGCCCACCAAGGCGACGAUCCGUAGCUGGUCUGAGAGGAUGAUCAGCCACACUGGAACUGAGACACGGUCCAGACUCCUACGGGAGGCAGCAGUGGGGAAUAUUGGGCAAUGGGCGCAAGCCUGAUCCAGCCAUACCGCGUGGGUGAAGAAGGCCUUCGGGUUGUAAAGCCCUUUUGUUGGGAAAGAAAAGCAGCAGGUUAAUACCCCGCUGUUCUGACGGUACCCAAAGAAUAAGCACCGGCUAACUUCGUG
RNAcentral lists this ribosomal RNA (492 nucleotides) under uncultured bacterium. RNAcentral describes it as "partial 16S ribosomal RNA". It matches the Rfam family "Bacterial small subunit ribosomal RNA", at positions 29 to 507 of the family's 1533-position model. The record is from RNAcentral.